CGACCGGCGCACGGGUGAGUAACACGUAUGCAACCUGGCCGUGACAGAUGGAUAACCGGGAGAAAUCCCGCCUAAUACAGCAUGACGCCGCGGGAGGACAUCCUCCCGCGGCCAAAGGGGCGACCCGGUCACGGAUGGGCAUGCGGCGCAUUAGGUAGUUGGUGGGGCAACGGCCCACCAAGCCGACGAUGCGUAGGGGUUCUGAGAGGAAGGUCCCCCACAUUGGUACUGAGACACGGACCAGACUCCUACGGAAGGCAGCAG
RNAcentral lists this ribosomal RNA (264 nucleotides) under uncultured bacterium. Its description in RNAcentral is "partial 16S ribosomal RNA". It matches the Rfam family "Bacterial small subunit ribosomal RNA", at positions 92 to 354 of the family's 1533-position model. The record is from RNAcentral.